RNAcentral lists this non-coding RNA (120 nucleotides) under Astyanax mexicanus (Mexican tetra). RNAcentral's name for it is "Eukaryotic large subunit ribosomal RNA". It matches the Rfam family "Eukaryotic large subunit ribosomal RNA", at positions 2198 to 2321 of the family's 3401-position model. The record is from Rfam by way of RNAcentral. Lineage: Eukaryota; Metazoa; Chordata; Actinopteri; Characiformes; Acestrorhamphidae.
CUGCGUGGUUGAAGAUCAACUUGAAGAAAUUCAAUGAAGCGCAGAUAAACGGCGGGAGUAACUAUGGGUCUGUUAAAGUAGCCAAAUGCCUCGUCAUCUAAUUAGUGACGCGCAUGAAUG